CGGCCGGAGCCCGCUGGAGCCCGCUGGAGCCCGCUGGAGCGCGCGGCCUGCUCCCGCUCUGCCCCGCUCGGAUCAUGCAGGGGGCCCCGGAGGAGGCGAGGGCGAGUGACCGGCCUGCGGCGGCCGCGUCCCGGGCGCGACCCCCUCUCUGAGACGCCCCCACCUGCUGCCAUGUGCCGCGCCCCGGAUACCCAGCCUGCCGCCAAACUUUUCGGGUGCCAGCCCGGCUCCGAGUCGCGUUUGUGAGCGAGUGUCCCGGGGACGGAGCGCCCAGGCUGGCCGCCGACCGCCUGCUUCUCCCGGGAGCCGCGGAGCUUCUGGAGUAACGAGUGCUCGCCCCGGCGUCGGAGCCCGCGCCGCCCCUCCCCACGCCGUCUGGCAGCGCCUUCCCGAAACAGUUGAUCUCGGACGGAUUUGAGA
RNA transcript from Canis lupus familiaris (dog), 420 nucleotides. It is a transcript of the gene named frizzled class receptor 5, with no coding region annotated. The record is from RefSeq and is a predicted model, not a curated record. The transcript has 2 exons. NCBI's taxonomy places the organism in Eukaryota, Metazoa, Chordata, Mammalia, Carnivora, Canidae.